Molecule: ribosomal RNA, 643 nt
Filed under: uncultured bacterium
Lineage: Bacteria
Description: bacterial SSU rRNA
Rfam family: Bacterial small subunit ribosomal RNA (bases 1-545)
Source: RNAcentral
CCUACGGGAGGCAGCAGUGGGGAAUAUUGGACAAUGGGCGAAAGCCUGAUCCAGCCAUGCCGCGUGUGUGAAGAAGGUCUUCGGAUUGUAAAGCACUUUAAGUUGGGAGGAAGGGUUGUAGAUUAAUACUCUGCAAUUUUGACGUUACCGACAGAAUAAGCACCGGCUAACUCUGUGCCAGCAGCCGCGGUAAUACAGAGGGUGCAAGCGUUAAUCGGAAUUACUGGGCGUAAAGCGCGCGUAGGUGGUUUGUUAAGUUGGAUGUGAAAUCCCCGGGCUCAACCUGGGAACUGCAUUCAAAACUGACUGACUAGAGUAUGGUAGAGGGUGGUGGAAUUUCCUGUGUAGCGGUGAAAUGCGUAGAUAUAGGAAGGAACACCAGUGGCGAAGGCGACCACCUGGACUAAUACUGACACUGAGGUGCGAAAGCGUGGGGAGCAAACAGGAUUAGAUACCCUGGUAGUCCACGCCGUAAACGAUGUCAACUAGCCGUUGGAAGCCUUGAGCUUUUAGUGGCGCAGCUACGACAUUAAGUUAGUACCGCCGUGGGGAGGUACGGCCGGCGAACGGUUAAAACGUAACGAAAGGAAAGUUAGUACGGCGUGAGACGUAGCCGAACGGACGACGACGAGGGAGGUUAGGG